GGGUGUUUGGUCUAGUGGUAUGAUUCUUGCUUUGGGUGCAAGAGGUUGUGAGUUCAAUUUUCACAACACCCC
Ipomoea nil (Japanese morning glory) is the source of this 72-nucleotide transfer RNA. It matches the Rfam family "tRNA". Rfam says of the family: Transfer RNA (tRNA) molecules are approximately 80 nucleotides in length. Their secondary structure includes four short double-helical elements and three loops (D, anti-codon, and T loops). The record is from Rfam. NCBI's taxonomy places the organism in Eukaryota, Viridiplantae, Streptophyta, Magnoliopsida, Solanales, Convolvulaceae.